CGAACGAUGAUGUCCCGCUUGCGGGACGGAUUAGUGGCGAACGGGUGAGUAAUACGUGAGUAACCUGCCCCUGACUCUGGGAUAAGCCUGGGAAACCGGGUCUAAUACUGGAUACUACCUCCCGCCGCAUGGUGGGUGGUGGAAAGGGUUCUACUGGUUUUGGAUGGGCUCACGGCCUAUCAGCUUGUUGGUGGGGUAAUGGCUCACCAAGGCGACGACGGGUAGCCGGCCUGAGAGGGUGACCGGCCACACUGGGACUGAGACACGGCCCAGACUCCUACGGGAGGCAGCAGUGGGGAAUAUUGCACAAUGGGCGCAAGCCUGAUGCAGCGACGCCGCGUGAGGGAUGACGGCCUUCGGGUUGUAAACCUCUUUCAGUAGGGAAGAAGCGAAAGUGACGGUACCUGCAGAAGAAGCGCCGGCUAACUACGUGCCAGCAGCCGCGGUAAUACGUAGGGCGCAAGCGUUGUCCGGAAUUAUUGGGCGUAAAGAGCUCGUAGGCGGUUUGUCGCGUCUGCUGUGAAAGCCCGGGGCUCAACCCCGGGUCUGCAGUGGGUACGGGCAGACUAGAGUGCAGUAGGGGAGACUGGAAUUCCUGGUGUAGCGGUGAAAUGCGCAGAUAUCAGGAGGAACACCGAUGGCGAAGGCAGGUCUCUGGGCUGUUACUGACGCUGAGGAGCGAAAGCAUGG
This 690-nucleotide ribosomal RNA is filed under the name Kocuria rosea. Its description in RNAcentral is "bacterial SSU rRNA". It matches the Rfam family "Bacterial small subunit ribosomal RNA", at positions 63 to 764 of the family's 1533-position model. The record is from RNAcentral. Lineage: Bacteria; Bacillati; Actinomycetota; Actinomycetes; Micrococcales; Micrococcaceae.